AAAGGAAUUGACGGGGGCCCGCACAAGCGGAGGAACAUGUGGUUUAAUUCGAUGAUACGCGAGGAACCUUACCCGGGCUUGAACUGCUCCCGCAUGAUGUUGAAAGAUAUCAGCCAGCAAUGGCGGGAGCGGAGGUGCUGCAUGGUUGUCGUCAGCUCGUGCCGUGAGGUGUCGGCUCAAGUGCCAUAACGAGCGCAACCCUUGCCUACAGUUACUAACGGAUAAAGCCGAGGACUCUGUAGGGACUGCCAUCGCAAGAUGUGAGGAAGGUGGGGAUGACGUCAAAUCAGCACGGCCCUUACGUCCGGGGCUACACACGUGUUACAAUGGGGGGUACAGCAGGAAGCUAGGCCGCAAGGUCGGGCGGAUCGUCAAAGCCCCUCUCAGUUCGGACUGGAGUCUGCAACCCGACUCCACGAAGCUGGAUUCGCUAGUAAUCGCGCAUCAGCCAUGGCGCGGUGAAUACGUUCCCGGGCCUUGUACACACCGCCCGU
RNAcentral lists this ribosomal RNA (494 nucleotides) under uncultured bacterium. RNAcentral's name for it is "bacterial SSU rRNA". It matches the Rfam family "Bacterial small subunit ribosomal RNA", at positions 903 to 1397 of the family's 1533-position model. The record is from RNAcentral.